Molecule: ribosomal RNA, 253 nt
Filed under: uncultured bacterium
Lineage: Bacteria
Description: partial 16S ribosomal RNA
Rfam family: Bacterial small subunit ribosomal RNA
Source: RNAcentral
UACAGAGGUCUCAAGCGUUGUUCGGAUUCAUUGGGCGUAAAGGGAGCGUAGGUGGCUGGUUUAGUCAGGUGUGAAAUCUCGGGGCUCAACCCCGAAACUGCACUUGAUACUGGCUUGCUAGAGUACUGGAGAGGAGAUUGGAAUUUACGGUGUAGCAGUGAAAUGCGUAGAUAUCGUAAGGAAGACCAGUGGCGAAGGCGAAUCUCUGGACAGUAACUGACACUGAGGCUCGAAGGCCAGGGGAGCGAACGGG